UGGGGAGUGUCAACCUAGAAUAAUUUCCGCAGAAACCUGCCCGGCCGAGUGGAAAGCAGGUCCUUGUUCAUGCGUGUCCUUGAUCGGCUUUCCGACCACUUAGACCACACUAGUGAGACUAGGUCAUCUGGCCAGUCAAUGGGCAGUGAUGCUCUGGUCAGAGGGGAGCCACGUGCGAGACGGCUCACAGAAGCUUCUGGAACACCGCAGCCGAAUGACUUCCAAGUGACACAUGCUGAGCGGAGAGGGGAUUAAGACGGGGUCUUGCUACGCAGUUCAGCUGGCCUUGAGCUCACUUUGUAGCCCAGGUUGGUCUCGAACUUGCAAGGAUCCUCCUGCCUCAGCCUCCCAAACGCUGCGAUUUUAGAACAUCACCAUGCCCAGCUGAUGUGUGUGAUUUUUCAGGCCGUUUCUCUGAAUAAUUUGCGGAGGGAAAAUGGCCUUCCACAUGCAUAGCCUGACUCUCUCCAAAGCAGAAACCUCAGGGCCCCCUUUCUUUCCUCUGAACCAGAGGGGAAGAUCCCCUUUCUCUUCCAGCCCCGGGCGAGAACAACGUUCCAUUGAUGACGUGAAUGGAGUGUUUCUUACCCCGGACUCCUCCUGCCGCAGAGGCAGGGACAUUUUCUCCCCCCCUGGCUUCGGAAGGUUGUGAGCCAGGUUGUCUGGAGGCGAUGAGGCUGGCCGGGCUUCCUGAUUCUGGCCGAUCUCCCCAAGGAAGGGGGCUCAUUUUGCCUGUGGCUUCUGGUGGGUGCCAGUCCCUCCGCCUGACCCCUGUGCCCACCAUCUCAGCUCUGUAUGCCCUCACCCUGCUGCCACUUUCACUGUUGCCAGCUGGUCUGUUCGCCCUCCCAGGGAAACCCGAGCUCCAAAAAAGUUACAGACGCUGAACUGUCCAUUGUGGUGCCCGGCAGAUGGUUGGUGCUCGGUAUGCGGGAACUGAAUGAAGCAAGGCCAGCUGAAAGCUACUUCUAAUUUCUAAAAUCCAGAAGAUGCUUUUCUGAACAAUGGAUGAGGGAGGUCAGCUGCAGUUGUUUGGGGGCUUCCAGAAGGGCCUAAUUGAUCCUGGGUCGGGGUGAUUUGUGCAGUACCUUCUACGGCUCUGCAAACGAGGCGUGCAGAGGGGAUGGCUUUGGGCCAUUUCAAAAGCACAGAAUUCAGCUGCUGAGAGAAAAGCUCGCAUGUGAGAGCAGAAGAAUAAAUGCAGGCUGAACCAGCAGGGACAGCCGGGGGUGGGGGCGGCGGUACAUCUGCAGCCUCGGUGAGUUCAGGCAGCUGCGGGGAUGCCAGGUGUCCACCUGUCAGUGCUACAGGACUGGCGUCCAGUAAUCCGUGCCCUGGGGGUGUCUGGCAUCUGCACCCUGCAUGUGCUCUGCAGAGUGUACCCCGAAACUGAGCUCGUAUUUCCAGGAAGUGCACACUGACUGCUUGUUCUCUGUCGCCUCCCCCCCUCCCUCUUCCUUUUCUAUCUCGCAGCUUUCUGCAAAUUAAAAAGCAAGUCAGGAAGCAAUGUUAAAAAUAAUCAAACCACAGCUAAAGGAAAGCACUAUCAAAAGAACGGGGUGGGGGGGAUCAACUUGGAUAUUCUUCUCCAGGGCUGUCUACUGGAGGCCCUGUGAUUAUUCAUUCUGAGAAACCCGCUGGGGCCUGGGGGAGUUCAUGGGGCCAGCAUGACUUUUCUUUCUGUACUGCUUACACAGGCCAUAAAAAUUCGCAUUGGCUCUUUGGCCAAAAGCCGGAAAAAGUCACGCCACGGGGUGGGAAGAAUGUUAAUCAAAAUGGAAAACCUACAGCUCCGGUUUCCCUGUGCUGGGUGGGCUUUUUGCUGUCAGCUCGCCCCUCUCGACUCACAAUCAGCUUCAGGUAGCAGAGGCCUGACGGCAGGAAGCACUGAACACCCCAUUCUGGAGAAUCAGAGCCCCCCAACACCUGCACUCACCCGCCCAACAUUGGGUGUGCCGGACCUGGGGCUUCCAAGGGGCUCUGCACCAAGCUCUAGGGUUAGCAAGAGACAACUGGGAGUCUGGGGGCUCGGGGAAUAAGGUGAGCAGCCUCAGAGAGAAGCCAUGGUCAUUUCAAUUUCUUCUUCUUCUUUGUUUUUAAAGGCUCAUAGAACAUCAAAUGUGAAAAGAUGUCAAAACAGAGCCCCCAAACUGUGGCAUGAUCUUAUUUACUUAUGUAUUCAUUCUGUUUUUGAGACAAGCUUUGGCUCUGUAGUGUAGGCUGGAGUAGAUUUCACUCUAUCCUGGGCUGGCCCCAACUCACUGUGCUCCUCCUGCCUCAGCCUCCCAAGUGCUGGGAUUCCUGGAGUAGUUUAAAAUAAUGACACUGAACAAGUUAGCAACUUUACUGUUCACUGGUCUUGCCCCUAUGUAUUAAAAAUAGGAACUCAGCACCCUGCAGGUGGCCAGCGGACACUAGCUUAUCUGGUAGCAUCUUCCUGUUUUGUAAGAGGGUCUUAGGACCCUGCAGGUAGGAAGUCUGGACCGAGUUCUCUGAGUGUGGGGAGCCCUCCUCCACCUGGGGCCAUGCCCAAAGCUUAGCCACUGUUUGGUCAGAGCAGGCAGAGGAGCCUGCUGGGGCCUGGUCUGCAGGCUGAGUGGGCGGGGCAGCGAGGAUGAGCUGGAUGAGCUGGCCUCUCUCUCUAGCUCCUGGGCUCUCCAAACACCGGGUUUGUCCAGGACAUUUUCUCUGACUCACCCUCGGGGAUAAGACAGGUGAUAGCCUUGGGGCCAGUGGGCCAGCAGGAGGGAGGCACUGGAUUCUUUACAGUCAGACGCUUGAUUUCAGAUCUGGCAAGCUUCUUGACAAAACUGCUGUAGGUUUGACAGAACUGAAGUUGAGCUGAGAGCUAGAAUAAACCAUGGGUGACAAUAAACAGCAGGCUGAGCCCACUGCAGGUGACCCAGGGAAACUUGAUGCUCAGGUGCUCCAUAGAUGCCCUUAGCUAUGCAUUCAGCCAGUAUCUACUGAGCUCCUUCAAACCCCGGCCAAGUGCUGGAGAGACAAUGGUGAGCAUGGCCCAGCUGGCCCCUUCUGGAAGGAAGCCUGCUGUGUGUGGGAAGGGGUAGGUGUGUGUGUGUGCACACGUGUGUGCACAUGUAGGUGGAAGAUCUUACUGAACAUUACAAAAUGACAGAAGCAACCACAGCUUUCCGGGCAAUAAAGGAGAAGCAUAUGGGCUAUAAGCACAUACAAUAACCUGGGGUCUGAUUUGGAGAGGCAGCUCCUCUGUUUUCCUGUUGAAAACAGAUACUGAGUGGGAUCUGAGAGAUGAGAAGGGAAGGAAGAGGCAGAAGAUGGCUUCUGGCAACAAAAGCGGCAUGUGCAAAGGCUCUGUGGUAGAAGAGAGGAGACCGUAAGAAACUGAGAAGCAGGGCUGGAGUGGAGCA
Cavia porcellus (domestic guinea pig) is the source of this 3389-nucleotide long non-coding RNA. RefSeq lists it as uncharacterized. Lineage: Eukaryota; Metazoa; Chordata; Mammalia; Rodentia; Caviidae. The transcript has 3 exons. The record is from RefSeq and is a predicted model, not a curated record.